GCUGGGAAUUUUGAUUUCCUAAUUUUUUUUUUUUUGGUUCUUUUGUAUAUCUAGAGAGAGGCAGUAGUAUAUAUUUUUUUUCUUAAUGAAAAACUGGUACUCAUCUACCUUAUUAUGUUAAUUUAUUCUAAAUAGAAAAGUUCAAAUUUAUUAGAGAGAGAAAGGGGGAAUCUGAGAUUGAAUGCUUGCUCAAUGGGACAAGUUGGCAGGUAGAUCAAUGGAUUCCUUUGGCUUGGCGUGCAUGGCUGUGAAAUUUUCAAUCAAUGAUGUAUUGAUAAUUUUUUUGUUCAACAUUAUAGCACAAGAGAUGAAGAAAAAAAUUAUCAAUACAUCAUUGAUUGAAAAUUUCACAGCCAUGCACGCCAAGCCAAAGGAAUCCAUUGAUCUACCUGCCAACUUGUCCCAUUGAGCAAGCAUUCAAUCUCAGAUUCCCCCUUUCUCUCUCUAAUAAAUUUGAACUUUUCUAUUUAGAAUAAAUUAACAUAAUAAGGUAGAUGAGUACCAGU
RNAcentral lists this unclassified non-coding RNA (506 nucleotides) under Hevea brasiliensis (rubber tree). The record is from RNAcentral. Lineage: Eukaryota; Viridiplantae; Streptophyta; Magnoliopsida; Malpighiales; Euphorbiaceae.